AGCGAACGCUGGCGGCAGGCUUAACACAUGCAAGUCGAACGGACCCUUCGGGGUUAGUGGCGGACGGGUGAGUAACACGUGGGAACGUGCCUUUAGGUUCGGAACAACACAGGGAAACUUGUGCUAAUACCGGAUGUGCCCUUAGGGUGAAAGAUUUAUCGCCUUUAGAGCGGCCCGCGUCUGAUUAGCUAGUUGGUGGGGUAAAGGCCUACCAAGGCGACGAUCAGUAGCUGGUCUGAGAGGAUGGCCAGCCACAUUGGGACUGAGACACGGCCCAAACUCCUACGGGAGGCAGCAGUGGGGAAUCUUGCGCAAUGGGCGAAAGCCUGACGCAGCCAUGCCGCGUGAAUGAUGAAGGUCUUAGGAUUGUAAAAUUCUUUCACCGGGGACGAUAAUGACGGUACCCGGAGAAGAAGCCCCGGCUAACUUCGUGCCAGCAGCCGCGGUAA
Molecule: ribosomal RNA, 449 nt
Filed under: uncultured bacterium
Lineage: Bacteria
Description: partial 16S ribosomal RNA
Rfam family: Bacterial small subunit ribosomal RNA
Source: RNAcentral